GGGGGUAUAGCUCAGUUGGGAGAGCACCUGCCUUGCACGCAGGGGGUCAGGAGUUCGAAUCUCCUUAC
This 68-nucleotide transfer RNA is filed under the name Clostridium perfringens CPE str. F4969. RNAcentral describes it as "tRNA-OTHER". It matches the Rfam family "tRNA". From Rfam's summary of the family: Transfer RNA (tRNA) molecules are approximately 80 nucleotides in length. Their secondary structure includes four short double-helical elements and three loops (D, anti-codon, and T loops). The record is from RNAcentral. Lineage: Bacteria; Bacillati; Bacillota; Clostridia; Eubacteriales; Clostridiaceae.